CAGCACACAUCACACAGAGGUAGUGCCUACCCGCACGGCCGCACGGCAGUUCGUCACCGUGGUGGCGUAUCCGCCACAAGCCCACUGCCCACAGGCCCACUGCUGCCGUCUCGCCUCAGGGCUCAGGCUGCAGGCUGACGACGCCAACGCCGCCCCUCCCGGCCUUGGCCCAAGUCGUCACCUCCUCGCCCCUCGCCCACGGCUGCGGCCACAUUGUCGCCGGCUUGCCAACACGCCCGUGUAGAUCGGCCGCCGCAUCGCGCCACGCCGCCGUUUCGAUCCCCCGCCAGGGCAGCAGGCAGGCAGGUGCCCUGCUCUUCCAGCGCCCAGGCAGAAUCACUUGCAUUUUUAUCUUUUCUCAUUCAAGUUCUGAUCUUGCGUUUCUUUAGUGACUUUACUAUGCCACCUGUUGACGGCCUCAAGCGUAAUGUUGGUUAACCACUGAAUGCUUCUGUUUCCUACAGAAAUCCCUGUCCUAGAAAUUCAUUUCGUACAAACAAAAUAACUGAAACGGAAAGAAGUGGUAACUUAGGUUCCGUUUUUCAUAAUAUUUCUAUGCUUAAUAAAUUCGCUCCAAUUUACCUCCCCCAGCUCAGGGUAGCAUGUGUCAGUUAUGAUACAUUGAGGUUUACGUUCUCAUCACAUUAUUUGGUAACAUUGGAUCGUCUGUUGCUGUUGGCUACCAAUAUACGUAAGAAACAUUGGGUGAUCUGUUAGAUCACCUCAGUCACUGGGGAAUCAUUGUUGGCCCUUAUAAGAAACCCAUCUUGAAUAUAGGAAUCUGGCGAUGAAGAGUAAGAAAAGUGUGCACGGAUCAUCAUGCAAGAAGGCUAAGUUGUUUGACGGCCUAAUUGGUAGACAUGGUUCUGAAAUAGAUCCAUGUUAUAAACUUUUUCUUGAACAUUUAAGCAAAGAUCGGAAUACAUAUGUCCUUGAUGUACCAAAGGGUGACCACGGCUUGCCUUUUUCUGUACGUUAUGAGGAGGACUAUACGUCCUAUGGAAAUACUAAGAGCAGAAGUAGUCCAAAUUUUCCCAACCAUUCACGGCGCACAAGUUGGGGCAUUCCAGAUGGCAAACAGCCUGAUGUAAAAGCUGUCAAGGCUGCCAGCAGAAAUAUGUGUUGCUCCUUUUCACCAAAGAGAUCAUAUGUGAAGAAGAAGACCACGACCUCACUAGUAGAUGAAUCUUAUGAGUUAUUUCUGAGCCUUGUGAAGUUCAAGGAUGGUUUCAUGGUUAUUGAACCAGAACCAGGUGUCACCAUUGUAUAUGAGCGAGAAGAAGAUAUGCCAGCUGGCUAUGAUGAAUGGAGAACUGGCAGUUCCACAAAUGAACUGUCUUUGGUGUCUCCACUUGAAAACACGGAGGGAGACUACACCAUGCAAAGAUAUGAUUAUGGCCUUGCACCGGCUAACAAAAUUUCUUCUGAACAUGAAAUGGCUGCACCUUCUUCAGAGAACAUUGCUGGUCAGGAUAUUAUUUGCACAGAUGAGCAUGGCCUUGUACUUUAUGCUGAACCAUCUGAUUUAAAUGCAUGUGAAGAUGAACAAGCAACACCUCUUGCUAUCAGCUACGGUGGUUCAUCUACAUUUGAUGAAAAACUCAAUGCUGUUUUAAGUCAACCAUAUGAUCAAAACGAAUACGAAGAGUUGUGGAGAAAAGCGACUGACCGGAAGCCUGUGAGCAGACAAAGACACUUGCGAAGUGCAUCAAAGCGCUAUGUUACAGAGGCAAUCGGGCUGUCAUAUCUCGAUUAUUACCCUGGUAUAGUUACAAAGCUUGAUCUAGCCGUACAAAUAAAGUCAUCUGAUCGUGAUAAGAGACUGAGCCUACUACGAAGGUUCUUCUUCUGGUUGGAGCAAAAUGCUGUGAAGAGAUUUCACCCAAUCAGUGAAAAAAUAUGUUUCUUGCUGAUGGCUACAGUGGUUUGAAAACAAAUCGUCCAUAAUAUGUUGGUUUAGUGGUUUGCCUGCUUCAUGGUGCUGUGUAAGGGAGGUCAGGAGAACUUGUGCCAUGAGGGAGCCUACAUGCCCUGGAUCUCCAAACCUCUAGCUUGCAACCCCAUUUCACCGGAUGGAUGAAUAUGAACCGACGCCCACUCUCAUCCUCAAGACACACGAAGAUGAGCCCUAGGGGUGAGCGGUUAGCAGAGAUUUGCUUGCAGCAUCCCUGCAUCUCUGAUGCUACUUGACUGCUCCUUGUUUCGAUGCGAUGCAAAGCUGAGUCUGUAAUCUUCAGUGUCUAUGCAGUACUGCAGUUAUUUUUCUGCAGGCUAAAUUAUACAACAUGGCAACAAAUACAGCACGGAUAUUGCAAAAAUGGUACUGCUAGCGUUUUAUCGUUA
This is an RNA transcript of Zea mays, 2343 nucleotides long. RefSeq lists it as uncharacterized. The record is from RefSeq and is marked validated. NCBI's taxonomy places the organism in Eukaryota, Viridiplantae, Streptophyta, Magnoliopsida, Poales, Poaceae. The transcript has 5 exons.